CGAGGACAGCCCACAAUCAAGGGGAGGGUAGAUAUGUUCUACCUCUUGACAUGUAGUAUGAACAUAAAGCACAGUUGAUUCCUGAGCUGUGAUGACUUUCCACUGACCAUACUACUGCAAUGAUGUUAUUCUGGGCCAAACUUCGGAAUCAAUUCUUGUCUGCUGCCUGAUUCAAUUAUUUUUAAUGCACCCUGUGGAUUUUUACUUGCUAAAGUAGAAAGAAGAUCCCAACAUUUGAUGAGAAAAUAUACAGAAGCUGCGAUGUGGUGGAUCCAAAUCUCUCUGAGGCCAAAUACUGCCCAGCUCGAAUGAACGCUAUGCUCCAUGCCUGAAACAACUGCUCCAGCCCUCAGAAAAGAGUCUCCCAUUCAACUGAAGUCUGCAUAUCAGAUUCCCGUGGGAUAAUUCAUAAAGGCUCCUUGAAGUUAAUUCUGGGUAUAUCCUGAAAUAGAGGGUCUCCUCUGUUUUUUCUUCUUUUUUUCCACAACUGAGGAGACACUAGUGCCUACUUAUCUCAAUAAUGGGAUUUCUCUUUGAUGCAAUUGCAGUUUUUACUAGGCCUUUCAAUAAAUAUGUUGAAUAUUUUU
This 587-nucleotide long non-coding RNA is filed under the name Homo sapiens (human). Its description in RNAcentral is "HSALNT0362343". Lineage: Eukaryota; Metazoa; Chordata; Mammalia; Primates; Hominidae. The record is from RNAcentral.